AAUUCCGCAGCGUGCACUUGGGGGUGGGGGUGGGGGCGGGAAGGUUGGCUGCCAGCCUUAACCCCUAGAGCUGGCCACCUUCGGGCCUCCCCGACUGCCAGGUACUCCACUUACCUGCCCCCUCCCACACUAGGUCAUUCCCAGGCCCAGCCCCCCGUGUCCCCAGCCAUCCUGCAGGACACUCCGUCCUGCACCUGCUUGCCCUCAAUAGCAUUGAAAUCUCCCAUCUUUUCCUCUGGGCGCCCCCCCCCCCAUCUCUAGAGUCCGUAUGAGUGCGGGCAGCGGACGGGAGCAGGGUGACACGCAGACUGUAUACAGGGCCCCUUCGGUGUACACCCCGCUUGGAACAGGGCAGUGGAAAAACAAACAGCUUCGCAGGAGGAGAUGGAGUCUAAACACCAGCUCAUUUCACCGGCCCCUUGUUGAUCACCCAAGCACGUGUCCGCCCCCGGGUCUGACUCUAGAUUUUCCUGCACCAACUACCUGUGAUUCAAUUCACCUGUUUUUGAGGGUGUGAGGACUGAUCCAGGAGCUAUGAUGGUGUCCUCAGUGUGGGAUCCAUCAGGGCCUGAGACCACAGUAACCUCAAAUACCCAGACAAUAAUCAUUCUGCCUCCCACAGGGGAACCCAUGAGGAAGGGAACCUGG
Long non-coding RNA from Cervus elaphus (red deer), 648 nucleotides. RefSeq lists it as uncharacterized. The record is from RefSeq and is a predicted model, not a curated record. NCBI's taxonomy places the organism in Eukaryota, Metazoa, Chordata, Mammalia, Artiodactyla, Cervidae. The transcript has 3 exons.